Molecule: long non-coding RNA, 774 nt
Filed under: Chloebia gouldiae (Gouldian finch)
Lineage: Eukaryota; Metazoa; Chordata; Aves; Passeriformes; Passeridae
Description: Erythrura gouldiae (Gouldian finch) lncRNA (ENSEGOG00005002056.1)
Source: RNAcentral
UAUUUUCUGUCUUUAGCUGCUGAAGAGUGACGAACUGUCAAUCAGCAGGGACCCUCCUGAAUUAGACACCUAGCAGGAUGAAACAACUGGAAACAAUGGCACCCAGUAACGAAACCUUUUCCAUCAAGAAGCCUUGGAGCAGUUUUGUGAAAACUGGUUUUGAUUUGGAAGGUAAAGAAUGAACAGAAAAAUCCAAGAAAGUAAGGGGUGGAAAUACACCAUGUAAUGGGAGCUGCAUCUCACUCUGUAAAGAUAAAGUAAUGUAAUAUGUCAUUUAGAGCAGCAGGUCAUAGAACUACUCAAGAAAUAGAAGGUGGCUGAAUGGAAGGGAAAAGACUUUUUACUGACUUGAAGGGCAUGUCAACAAUACUGAGUCUGAAGACUGAGAACUCUGCUAUGAGGAUGAGGAACUGAAGAGAAAGGUGAUUCAGUAAUAUUGAAGAUUUUGCUUGUGGACCUGGACUUUUGGGCUAUUCAUGACUGUUUGCAGCUGUUUCCACUUGUCUCCUUUGACUGCUUUAGCAACAACAGUCAACCUCUCCACAUUCAAUAAUUUGAACACAUUAGAAUGAAUGCAUUAUUUAUUGCAUGCUCCACUUUGCUGAAUGAGUCCCGAAGUUGCAGCGGGAUAAACCAAGAAUUCUGAAAAAGACCAUUUCUCUCUUUACUGUAUGAUUGGGUUGUGGCAGGCACAGCAUCUGAGACAAAUUGCUAGGGUCUUAGAAACAACAAUCAUGCUGCUUUCUGCCCAAUAAAAGAAACCUUAUUUAGCCA